UACGUAGGUGGCAAGCGUUGUCCGGAUUUACUGGGCGUAAAGAGCGCGCAGGCGGUUCAUCAAGUCGAACGUGAAAGCCCCCGGCUUAACUGGGGAGGGUCAUUCGAUACUGAUCGACUCGAAGGCAGGAGAGGGUAGUGGAAUUCCCGGUGUAGUGGUGAAAUGCGUAGAUAUCGGGAGGAACACCAGUGGCGAAGGCGACUACCUGGCCUGUUCUUGACGCUGAGGCGCGAAAGCUAGGGGAGCAAACGGG
This 253-nucleotide ribosomal RNA is filed under the name uncultured bacterium. Its description in RNAcentral is "partial 16S ribosomal RNA". It matches the Rfam family "Bacterial small subunit ribosomal RNA", at positions 524 to 776 of the family's 1533-position model. The record is from RNAcentral.